RNAcentral lists this ribosomal RNA (301 nucleotides) under uncultured bacterium. Its description in RNAcentral is "partial 16S ribosomal RNA". It matches the Rfam family "Bacterial small subunit ribosomal RNA", at positions 509 to 809 of the family's 1533-position model. The record is from RNAcentral.
CAGUCGCCGCGGUAAUGCGUAGGUGGCAAGCGUUGUCCGGAAUUAUUGGGCGUAAAGGGCUCGCAGGCGGUUUCUUAAGUCUGAUGUGAAAGCCCCCGGCCCAACCGGGGAGGGUCAUUGGAAACUGGGAAACUUGAGUGCAGAAGAGGAGAGUGGAAUUCCACGUGUAGCGGUGAAAUGCGUAGGGAUGUGGAGGAACACCAGUGGCGAAGGCGACUCUCUGGUCUGUAACUGACGCUGAGGAGCGAAAGCGUGGGGAGCGAACAGGAUUAGAGACCCCCGUAGUCCUGUCUCUUAUACA